GAUGAACGCUGGCGGCGUGCCUAACACAUGCAAGUCGAGCGAUUCUCUUCGGAGAAGAGCGGCGGACGGGUGAGUAACGCGUGGGUAACCUGCCCUGUACACACGGAUAACAUACCGAAAGGUAUGCUAAUACGGGAUAAUAUAUAAGAGUCGCAUGACUUUUAUAUCAAAGAUUUUUCGGUACAGGAUGGACCCGCGUCUGAUUAGCUUGUUGGCGGGGUAACGGCCCACCAAGGCGACGAUCAGUAGCCGACCUGAGAGGGUGAUCGGCCACAUUGGAACUGAGACACGGUCCAAACUCCUACGGGAGGCAGCAGUGGGGAAUAUUGCACAAUGGGCGCAAGCCUGAUGCAGCAACGCCGCGUGAGCGAUGAAGGCCUUCGGGUCGUAAAGCUCUGUCCUCAAGGAAGAUAAUGACG
This 419-nucleotide ribosomal RNA is filed under the name uncultured bacterium. RNAcentral describes it as "bacterial SSU rRNA". It matches the Rfam family "Bacterial small subunit ribosomal RNA", at positions 28 to 456 of the family's 1533-position model. The record is from RNAcentral.